AUUUUUAUUUUUCCCCAUUUAUUUAUGCAUUUUAGUUGCAUUAUGGGAUCUUGAUCUUUCUUCCAACAACUUUCAACCUUGGAAAGUUAUAUAAAUUAAUAAAAUGCGUAUUAAUAUACAGCUCAUGUUAGAAUAGUAAUACACAAUUAGUCUUUUUAUUUGUAUUCUCACCGGCCACUUUAUUAGGUACACCUGUCCAACUGCUCGUUAACACACAUUUCUAAUCAGCCAAUCACAGGGCAGCAGCUCACUGCAUUUAGGCUUUUAGACAUGGUCAACAGGAUCUGCUACAGUUCAAAGUGCGCAUCAGAAUGGGAAAAAAAGGGGAUUUAAGUGACUUUGAAUGUGGCAUGGUUGUUAGUGCGGGCUGGUCUGAGUAUUUCAGAAACUGCUGAUCUACAGGGAUUUUCACGCACAACCAUCUCUAGGGUUUGCAGAGAAUGCUCCGACAAAGAGGAAAUAUCCAGUGAGCGGCAGUUCUGUGGGCGCAAAUGCCUUGUUGAUGAGGCCAGAGGUCAGAGGAGAAUGGCCAGACUGGUUCCAGCUGAUAGAAAGGCGACGGUAACUCAAAUAAGCACUCGCUACAACCGAGCUCUGCAGAAGAGCAUCUCUGAACACACAACACGGCCAACCUUGAGGCGGAUGGGCUACAGCAGCAGAAGAGCACACCGGGUGCCGCUCCUGUCAGCUAAGAACAGGAAACUGAGGCUACAAUUCACACAGACUCACCAAAACUGGACAAUAGAAGAUUGGAGAAACGUUGCUGCUCUGAUGAGUCUCCAUUUCUGCUGACACAUUCAGAUGCUCGGCUCACAAUUUGGCCUCAACAACAUGAAAGCAUGGAUCAUCCUGCCUUGUAUCAGCGGUUCAGGCUGGUGGUGGUGGUGUAAUGGUGUGGGGGAGAUUUUCUUUGGGUCCAUUAGUACCAAUUGAGCAUCAACGCCACAGCCUACCUGAGUAUUGCUGCUGACCAUGUCCAUCCCUUUAUGAGCACAGUGUCUUCAUCUUCUGAUGGCUACUUCCAGCAGGAUAACGCAGCAUGUCAUAAAGCUCAAUCAUCUCAGACUUGAACAUGACAAUGAGUUCACUGUACUCAAAUGGCCUCCACAGUCACCAGAGCUCAAUCCAAUAGAGCAGCUUUGGGAUGUGGUGGAACGGGAGAUUGGCAUCAUGGAUGUGCAGCCGACGAAUCUGCAGCAACUGCGUGAUGCUAUCAUGACAAUAUGGAGCAAAAUCUCUGAGGAAUAUUUCCAGUAGCUUGUUGAAUUUAUGCCACCAAGGAUUAAGAACGGUUUCCGCUUUUUGUGUUAUAUGAUAUGAUAUACUGUACAAGAAAUGAGAAUAUCUAGAGAAAUGAGUGUGUAAAAUAACAGAAAAUGUGCUGCAGUUUAUUACAAGGUUUCUGCAGAGUAAUAUACAACACCAACACACUAUAUAGCAACGCAGACUAUUACACAUGUGCAGGAAAGACACUUUUUUAAAACUUUGCAAUGUUAAAAGUUGUUGGAAGAAAGACCAAGCUUCCACAAUGCAAUUCAGAAGCAGAAAUAAAUGAGGAAAAACAUGAAUCUCAGGUACUCUGCAAAAAUUAAUCGCAAUUAAAGCUUGUUUUGCAUUGUGUGUGUGUGUGUGUGUUUGUGUGUGUGUGUGUGUGUGUGUGUGUGUGUGUGUGUG
Danio rerio (zebrafish) is the source of this 1674-nucleotide non-coding RNA. The record is from Ensembl. Lineage: Eukaryota; Metazoa; Chordata; Actinopteri; Cypriniformes; Danionidae.